Molecule: long non-coding RNA, 12898 nt
Organism: Cervus elaphus (red deer)
Lineage: Eukaryota; Metazoa; Chordata; Mammalia; Artiodactyla; Cervidae
Exons: 2
Source: RefSeq, a predicted model, not a curated record
GGAGCCCCCGUCGGCGUGGGGGUGGACGUGCCGCCGCAGGGAGGGCCUCCUCGCGGUGGUGCCCCCUCCCAGGAGUUAUUUAUCACUUCCGGCUGCUCACCUGGGGGCCGGGCCCCUCUCUGCUCCGCUGGGCAGCAGCCCGGGCGCUCCCUGGGGGCGGGCGGCCGCGGGGGAGGGGCGCCCCGGGCCAGGCCCUCGGGAGGCGGAGGCGCGGGCCAGGCCUGCGGCGGGGGCUGGGCGGGGGGCGGAAGCUGCCCGAGCAGAUAAGAGCCGAGGUCGGUCCUGCGGUGAGACAGUGCGGGACGCCGCCUCCUCCCCCCAGCCUCCGCCCAGCCCGCCCCCGCACCCUCCGGUCCCAACUCCCCGGAGCCACGGUCAGCCCCGGCGGCCCCCUCCCUCCAACCCCGGGGGUUGAUGCCCGGGAGCCGUGGGGGAUGGGGCUCCAGCCUGCACAUUGUGUUUCCAACCUCAGUCAUCUCCGCUGGCAAAUGGGGGCAGGAACUCCCGUUACCCACCCCAGGGCCUGUUGGGGAUGGGACAGGGGCAGGCUGGUGAAACCCCUUUGUAGAUCUGGGCCCUUUGUAAAGAAGGGGUACCCUGAGCUCCUCCUAUGGCCCCUGCCUCUUCUUGCUGACUCUCCAGGCUUGAUCCCCACUGUGUAGGUGAGGAUUUGGGGGGCCUGCCUUAAGGCACAGAGCUGGCCGUCAGGAAACAAGUGGGGAGCGGAAUGGAACUCUUUCUGUUGCCCCCAACCUGGGGAACAGAGCUAGGUUUGGGGAUGCUUGUACACUCUGGGGGCCCUGUUUAAGAAAAAGAUUACAAAAUCACAAACAUAAAUUUGCUGAGUCCUCUCCCCGGGCCUUGAAAGGGGUCCAAGCAAGUGAGAAGGCAAGUCCAGCUUCUGUUUCCUGGCCCCACCCUGCAGGCCCCCAGGAAGGGCUUACACCCCUCCUAUAGGAGCUGGUCGGACACCAAUAUAGCUGCAGGGCUGGCCCAAGGCAGGACAGCUGGGGCCCGGAGGAGUCCCCGCAGCAGCUGGGCGCACCCCCUUGCAUGCCCAGGCAGCCCUCUGCCAGCCCAGCCCAGCCCAAGAGCGAGAGCAGUCAGGCAUUUGGGGACUGCACCACAGCUGGGCAGGGCCCAGCCCUUCAGUCCCAGCCAGUCAAGGUUUACUUGCCACUCAGGGCCUCUGACUUGUGGGCUGGCAGUGGUAGGGAAAAUUCCUAGGAAAAAAGGAAGGGGGACCUAUCUGGGGCAGGGUAAGUGCAUCUGACUUGGAGUCACACGGGACUGAGGUUCAAGUCCCUGCAAGACCAUGUGACCUUGGGAAGACUCCUUCGCCUUGGUUUCUUCAUCUGUAAAAUGGGAGUAAUAAUAGUACCUACUCGUCAGAGCUGUAACGAGGCUUAAAUGAGGCCAUGCAUGAAGCAGGGCUGAGCCCUUGGCCUUUAGAAGCAAAUUUCCCUUCUGUGAAAUCUCCAGGUCAGGAGAGGCAUCUUUCUCUCCAUAUUAGGGUUGUCAGUGAUGCAGGGGUGGGGGUGGGGGUGGGUGGAGUGGUGUGUCUCUGGUUGCAAAAUUGAGAGUUAGACCCUGUGAAUGUCUGGCAGCGAGGCCCUGGUUCUAACCACUAGGGCACACUGCCCCCUUGGGCCUGUCCCCACCCACUGCUAGGUGUGCAUGCGCAGGGCAGGGAGCCGGGGGGAGCAUUUGAUUCAGGAGGCUGCUCACCUUUUCUGGAUUUUGUAAUCUCUGAUCUUAUGGUCACCUGAGGCUGGAAUUUUUCUAACUCUGGCAUACUGCAGCCUGAACCAGGAGAAGCAGGAGACUCGGGAUGGAGAUGACCUGGGGAACUGGCCAGGAAUAGGCCAUGACUGUGAACCAAGAACCUGCCUGCCAGUGCAAGAGAUGUCAGAGACAUGGGUUCUUUCCUUGGGUCUGGAAAAUCUCCUGAAGGAGGGCAUGGCAACCCACUCCAGUACUCUUGCCUGGAGAAUCCCAUGGACAGAGGAGCCUGCUGGGCUAUACAGUCCAUGGGGUGGCAAAGAGUCAGACACGAUUGAACAACUGAACUGAACUGAAGCUACUUCGCGUGCACGCACACAUGAGCCUGGGCAACAGUGACAUCCCAAAGGACUCAAAAAGUCUUCCAAGCAAAGAGGUGCUGCUUCGCCCCACGUUUGCCUAGGAUUUCUUCUGGGUUAAUCGACGAGAGAACUGAGUUCUCAGUUCAGAGCUGCCCCUCUCUAGCCAGCUGAGCUCACACCAGUCCGUCUGCCCCUCUGAGCCUCAGUUUCCUCAUCUGUGAAAUGGGGAUAAGAAUACUUGCAGCUGCAAGGAUUACAAGAUGUGGUAUGCACAGAGUGCCUGGUGAACACUACCCAUUGUUCAAACCGUGUGGCUGUCUGGGUAUGAAAGGGGGUGUCUUGGGAGGGCAGGAAGUGUGCGAGUAGACGUGGGGGGUCCUGCCAGGGCAAGAGUUGAGCCUCCAAGGACCCCGUCUCACAGAUGGAGUGCCUUGGGGAAGGGCUGGGAACCCCAGCUCCGGUGCUCUCCCACAUCAGGACAGGUCAGAGGGAGGUCAGGGGCCCUGGGCGUGCAGAGAAGAGCAGGGAGCCGAGGUUCUCAGGCAGGUGAAAGGGAAGGAGGGAGGAAGUGGGGGCUUCUGGGAGGAGACGGGAGUGGCGGUCGCUGUGUGUUGCUGGCCACACGGUCACCAUGAGGCCCCAGACCAUGACCUCCUUUGUCCUGCAUUACCGGCUUUCAAGUGAGGCCUUUCCCCAGUGGGGAAACCGAGGCUCCAGGAGGCAAGAUGACUUGCCCAGGGUCACACACUGCAGGCUCCCCAAUCUGUCUGGCUCUGCAGCCCAGGCUCUCCAACAGUCACAGCCACUUUCUUAUCUUAUCUGCCUGACGAGGUUGUGAGUGAAGCAGCGUGAUCUCAGAGGCGCAGAGGGAUCCUGGGCCCUGCUGCUGUCUCCUAGGACCCCGGGCUCUCGGCUGCCAGUUGUUCAGGAGACACUGCCGGGAGACCCUGGGGGCUGGGGGCCUGGGUGGGGACCAGAGCAUUUGCUCUGAGUGAGACAGAGACCCCUGGAGGAAAGGGGAGUGAGCCUGCCAUCUCAGGAGGGUUCCAGUGGAGACACCCCAACAGCGGGGGAAGCUGGAGGUGUCGCUCACAACAGGGCCCAAACUAGCCAACCUAUCUCUGAAAUUCCUUUUUCUUGUCUUAAAAAUUCAUACAGAUUUGUAUCCUGUUAAAUAGGUGGGCUCCCUCACCCCACGCACACUUUAAAAAAAAAUCAGUUUCUACUCUCAGUUUCUGCCUGCGUGGACACUCCAGGAAGACAUGAUGUCUUCAGUGACUGCGUGUAUCUGGUGUCUGCCCUUUGGACCCCAGGCCCUGGGCCCCUGGUCUGGUUUGAGAAAGUGCAGGGACAGAGUUGAGGUCACCGUCCUGCCCGUUCUCACAGUCCAGGGCUCUCCCCGCCUCCACUCCUUGCUCCGGCCUCUUGCUCUGGCUUUCCCGGCUCCUUUCACAGACGUGUGUCCAGCCCAGCCCAGCCCAGCCCAGCCAUCCCACUGGGACUUCUCAGAUGCUUCACCCCCUCCCCACCCCUCUUCAUGCCCUGAGGGUCCUUGUCCAGAGGGGCCCUCCCCAUCUUCAGCUGUCUAUGCGGGGCAGUCUAAGCCUUUGCCUCCCCAGAGAAACAGCCUUGUUGAAUUUCCCCACGCCCAUUUGGAGGAAACUGAGGCCCAGUGCUGAGAGAGGCUGGGCCUCCAGGGUUCCCAGGGGACCUCCGGGCAGGUGGGGUACUCGCUAGGCCUGGGGGAGAAGGCACCCAAUCCGGGCCCCCUGCCAGGGAUGCAGGAAGGAGGAGUGGGGUGCCGGGGGCUGCCGCCUGGCAGGUCCCAGUGCCCGGGGUAGGGAAGUUUCUUAUUUCUCCUGCUCCGACUUCCCCCUUUGAUUUAUUAUAGCCAUGAAAUGCUCUGCUCUCUUCUCUUUUCCUUGCUGUCCGCGGGGCUGGAGCAGUGCAGGCCCUGUGGGGACUCCCACCUCCUUCCAAAGGGUGAGCCCCGGGGGGGAGCCGUAAAGGAGAGGUGAGUCGGGGCAGGUGGGGUGGGACGAGGAGGGGCCCUGACUCCCACCCGCCCUCCCCGCCCCCCCCAAGGCGAGCCCCAGGGGGCAGGACCCCAGGGGCCGGCAGUCUCGGUCGGGAAGGGCUGGGGCCGGCCCGAGAGGGUGUGGCAGGUGUGGACUUGAUGGCAGACAGCUCCCAGGGGCUGUGGGGGUGGCGGGCUCUGAGGCUGCGGCCCCGGGAGGCUGGCGGAUGGAGCCGUCAGGUCGAAGGCCGUCGAAUGGUCCUCCCGUGCCAACCCUUAGGCCGGAGAGGCGGCUUCUCUGUCACCCCUGACCCCACAUUCUGAUUUCACGAGGACCAGAGGAGGCCUGGUUCAGACGCAUCAGGGGGAUGGGGCUGAGCACCAGGGGAAGGCGGGAGGCCUGAAGCCCAGGCCUCGGGCUCCUCCAGGCCGCCCCCCGGCCCCCACUGGACGCCCGCCCGUGGCCGGGGCCAGGCAGGUGAGGGCUAAAGUCCGACGGCCCGGCCCCCGGGGCGGACCUGGCGGCCGGAGCGUCCCCCGCCGCGGUGUGGUGCCUGUGGUAACCUGGCUGUUGGCGUUUUGCAAUGGGCCGGGGGCGGGGAGGCUGCGCACACAGGCUUCCUGUGGUGACUGGGCGCUUCCUGUUUUCUCAGGCGCCGGACUUGCUGCUGCCGAUGUGGAAACAGGGGCAGCUGCAGCCGGGGUGGCUCCAGGCAGGGCGGCCCGCCGACCCUGCCCAGAGGGGGCCUGAGUGGGCCCGCACCCCAGGCCCCGACCGGGGCAGGAGAUGGCCCGAGUUACCCCCCAACCCCUGGGCCCCCAGCCCUCCCAUCCCCAGCACUAAGAGGAAGGGGCCAGGCAGGGCUGCCGCUCAAGGCCAAGCAGGUGGUCCAGAGGGUCUGAGGUCCAGGGGCAGGAGCUCUGGUCUCAGCUCUGCCCUUUGUCCACCGAGUGUCUCUGGCCCUCCCUGCCCCUCCCCAGGCCUUGGUUUUCCUCUUUCACGUGAGGUGAUCGUGGUACUCAUGGUCUAAGAUCCCUCGCCCGUUUCGGCCCCAAUUCUGACAGUCCUUGAUUUUUUCCAUCCCAAGAGCUUCAGCUUGGAGGAUGAGAUCCGCCCUGGGACUGGGACCCUCCGAGGAAGGGCUUGGCAUAGGCCUCGACAGAGAGGGGUUUGGAGAGACUGGGAGCAGGGACGAGCUCACCCGCUGGGGGAACCAGACUUCGAUUUGAGGUGUGGAGGCCGGGAAGGCCAGGACCAGGUUAGGGAGACAGGGUGUAGAUGGGACAGACAGAGAAUGGUGGGUGACCAGGUUGACUCGGAAGGAUGCCGAGCGGGAGAAAGAUUUCCGGAUCCCCUUUAUUCCUACAAAUUUUAGGAAAGGGUCCGGUCCGCCCUCACAUUAUUUCUCAGGACAGAGACGAGUAGGGCUAGGGGCCGGGCCAGCCCUUCCCGGCUGUCCCGCAAGGAGGUGGGUGUCCGUGUGGCAUGACCCCUGGGCCUUGGGAGGGCCCGGAGCCUUCUCCCGGCAUCAGCUGCCUGGAGGUUCCACCACCAGGGCCAGGCCUCGGGGACUUGGCAUUGCCUUUUCCCCGAAUGUGUGUUGUUUUGUUUUCAAGCUGCUCUUGCAAGAAGGGGAGGGCAGAUGACUUGUGCUUCUGGAGAUUGCUGACAGCAUCUGACAUCUGGAGGAAGAAUUUCUUUGCAGGAAGGCUGAGGCCUGGCUGCCCCUGGGGGAACUGACCAGUCCACUGACUGAGUUCAGCCACCCCACUUGGCCCAGGAGGUUCUGAGGUGCCCACUUCCUAAGUGGCUUCUCCUCAGUCUCAAGGCCUGUCCAUCGCGGACGGCCAAGGACUGGUUCCAGCCAGAGAGGCCUCGAGGAUCCCGAGACCCUGGUGCUCAGCCUGAGGGGCCGGGAGGCCAGCCUGGCCCCCGCCAUCGCGUCCCCUGCCUUGGUGCCUGGGGUCAGCCCAAAUGCUGAGUUGGCGGCUCCGCAGCUGCUCUUCUGCCCACGGAGGCCCAGUUAUAAAUAAGCCCAGUGUGGCCAAGUCAUCAAGUUCUAUCCCAGCUGUAUUACCUCAGUGACCACAGGUUGGGGCUGCCCAGAACCGGGCCCGCCAGAACCUGCCCAUCAAGCCCAAAGGCCGGGCCAGCCUCGAUGCCCGCGGGGGUCCUCAAACCCAGGGCAGCAGCGCGUGCAGCUAGCUGCUCAGACCUGGACCUCCCUGGACACGGGCCACAGAAGGGGCAGGGCCCAUCCCGCCCGCACGGAGCCAGCAGCUAUUUACAAACCGAAACCAGGAGAAGCGAAGUGACUGCGGCCAGAGUGACUCCAGGCCCCCCGGCCCCCACUCCUCCCCACGGCCCCCUCCCCCGCUCCGCACGGCUUCCUCUUUCCUUCCCCACACAGCUCCCCAACCUCCCACUGCCCCGGCCAGCUCUCUCUGGACAACCUGCCAGGACCUCGCAGUGACCCCCCGCCCUGCCCCAUCCCCGGCCCUUCAGCCACUUGCUUGGAGAAGCAGGGGGGUUCUCUUCAACUCCUCACCGCCCCCCGCCAGGACCCCAUGAGCCUGGGCUCCUUGGAGCAGCCCCCUCCCACCGGGGCCCGGCCCACUCUGGCCUGCCCAAAGCACAUUCCCACAGUUCUCAGUUCCCCUUCGUGACUGGAAAAGCUCCAGCCCCGAUGGCCGCCAUGACGCUGCUCGGCCCUGCCCGAGGGUAGCCGCUCCAGGGGCCCCUUGACCUUUCCCUGGGUGGGGGGGUGGGGGCAAGGAAUCUGGGGCGCUGCGGUGGGCCUGGGGGCACCCGGGGCCUUCCAGGGGGCUUGUUUCUGGGUGGGAGGCCCCAGCUGCCUACUGUCUUUGAGCUGGGUUUCAGUCCCCUCAUUCCGCUGGUGUGGGUCACAGGCCCUCUUGCGGGCCAGAGUUGAGCUGGGAUGGACGGACGCUGGGCCUGAGACCACGGCUCACGCUGCUUAGGAACUGGCAGGCAGGACUGGCCUUGCAGCAGGGGAUUGUUCUGGGAAGAGACAAAAGACAACACAAGGAACACUCGUUUCAAAUCAUGGACGAGCUCUCAUGAUGAUGCAGAGGGGGGUCAGUUCUUUUUGUCCCCAGAUAGAGCCUGUCCCAUCAUCUCCGUCAGAAAUGAUGCUGGGGCGCAGAGGGCGAGGCGCGUGUCCCAGGCUACACAGCGGGCAAGCGUCUGGACUGGGAGUCAGGGUUUCCUGACACCCAGUCCCCUCGUCUGUCCAUCUGACUGGCCCUCACUCCGUCUCAUCCGUCUGUCUCCUUCCCCGGGGAGGACACAAGUUUCCCAGCCCCAGGGACAAGGCAGGAAGCUGGGCUGGCCCGAAGCUUGAGGGUGACACAGGCCUUGGACUCUGGAGCUGCCGGACUGGGUCGUCAGCGGCCCAGGUCCCCCUCCGCGGCCCCAGGGGAAGGCUCUGCCUGCCCCACUCCAUACCUCCCACCAAGUCCCAGCUGAAGCGGAGCCCUGGCACCCUACCCACCUCAGCCCCAGCCAGCGGGCCGCGUUUCACCUAACCCUUCCAAACGUCAGAAUCCUCUUCCAUGGACUGUCAGUCCUCAAACACAGAACACCCGCUCCAUGCCAGCCGCCGCAGGUGCGAACUGUCUCUAGAGCUAGGACAUGGCACCUGCCCAGAGUCCCGUGCGCACGGCAGAUGAGUGACAAGAUGCUGAGAACUCUGGGAGGGAAACUGAGGCUGGGGGACCCCAGGAGAAGGUGACGGGUGCUUCCCGGGGUGAGGAGGGGCCCCUCGGGUGGGAUAGGAAAGAGGUCCCCAACAAAAGCCUGGGGGGACAGGCUCCCCCUGCCGAGUCCCACCCCUGGGCCUGGGCGCUAGUGGUUCCCACAGUUCAAGUGCCCCUUCUUCCUCUGGGCCCAGUGAACUCCUAUUCAUCUGUCAGGGCCCAUGGACACACCAUAGUAUGACCAGGCCUGGCCUGGCUUCAUGGCUCCUUGCCUCCUCCUUCCCACCCAGAGGCCAGGCCUCCUUGGUCACGACGCCCUUGCCAGCCCCACCCAGCAGGCAUCUGCUCCCGGGCUGGAGCCCCCGCCGUCCUCUGCUCCGAAAAGCACCGUUUCCCUUUUCUGGGUGACCACACGCCAUGCACAGGGAAUUUCCACCUCAGCCUGUGGAGUCUCUGAUUCACCCAGGCCCCUUAUGCAUUUAACUCCUUCCGGGUCCAAGGCUUCCUACUCGUUGCCCCUCGCGCUUGCCCGGGACCCCUAGACUGCUUCGAAGUAGCCUCGGAUCCCACAGCCUGGAAAUCAAGUCAGCGCCUCAGUCACCGGCCCCCUCAGCACCCUCCCACUCACGCACCGGGCACAGAGACCCCUGUCCCGCCGGCUCCCGGCACGCACGCUGGGGCGGCUUUGGGCUGAGAGCACAGACUCUGUGUAAGAUAAGCCUGGUCCGGCCCUGAUUCUGGCUUUUUCUGCUUUCUGGCCUGGAGCGGUAUAAGGGUCGGCUCUGAGGCCCAUUUCCCAUCUGUUAAAAUCGAUCCCUGUGCCGUCGCUUUGUUGUAAAUGUCUAGCACGCUGGCCCAUGACCGGAGCUCGAUAUCGAUUACCUUCUUCCUACCACAGCAUCGCUACUCCAGACCUGGGGCCCCUAGGUCUUGUCCCGAGAGCUGGCUGCUCAGGCAGGGAGGAGGGCAAAGGAGGGUGAGAGGCUGCUCUCUCAAGGCUCUCCUCCGCCAGCUUCUCGGCUCCUCACGUUGCUCAGCUUUUCCAAGGAGGCUUUGGAAAGGCCAGGGGGUGGGAGCUUCCAAGGAACUGAGGACCGCAGAGAUCCUGAGCCCUCGGAGACAGGGCCGAGCCUUCCUCCUCCAGAGGGAUGCUGGGCACGUGCAUCACAUAGGAACAUCUCCAGUGCGGCCUCUAAUUCUCACAGUCCCCUGGGGGGUAUCCUGCUGUUGGCCCCGUUUUACAGAUGACGAUAGCGAGGCUCUGAGAAGUGACUUGCCCUCAGCCACGUGGCGAACACAGGGCAGGGGUAGGAUUCAGAAUCAAGGUCUCUAGAGCCAUACUCCUAACCUCCACGAGGUUAAGAGGGUCGCUCAGCAUUUGUGGAGGCCAGUGAGGGAAACGCGCACUGAUUUGAAAACCUACUGUAUUCAAGGGGAAGGCUCACAGAGUGUCUCUUUCUGCCCUCUGGACCAUGCUGCGGCUGGGUCUUGGCGCCUCUACAGAAUUGAGGCCUCUGAGCUCCGGGGAGGGGAAGGGGCUACAGUGCCAGUGGUAAGGAAGAAUCCAGGGGUGUCUGGAUAGGAGAGGAUGAUGCCGGGGGCUCCACAGAAGCGGGGGGCCUGGCGGGGAGGGGGGGGAAGUGGCUCCUGUCCUCCGUGAGCCAGAAGGGCGGGUGCUGCCCGUGGUGAGCAGGAGGAAGUCGCUGUGGGUGGCGGUGGGUUUGAGGUGCCGGAGGCUGAGUGAUGUGGCCAGGAGGUGAGCUCCCCGUCUGAACGGCCUGGUCAACAGGAGACAAGGGUGUGGAGGGGGGUAGGGGGGAGAGCUGAGAUUCAGGGCAUGACGGAGAUCGGGCCCCUCUGGAGAUCUCUGCUGCUUGGCCCCUGGGGCUGGGGAGCUGGUGGGAGUGUUGCGGGGGGAGCAGGGAGGUAGGCAGGAGCUGGCGCAGAGUGUGAGGAGGGAUUCAGUAGGGCGGGGGAAGAUGGAGGUGACCUGGGAAGGGAGCGUCUGGGGAGACAGCCUGGAGGAGGCGAGCCCUCAAAAGAUGGAGGAGGGAAAAAAAAAAAGAUGGAGGAGGCCUUUGAGUGUGAAAGGGGGUGGGACUGUGAGCAAAGGCCGUGGGAGAUUGAGAAAGAGGUUCUGGGAAUGUUGAGUAGCGUCUUUGGGCUGGAGGUGGGGGCAGGGCUGGUCCACUCGGGGUGGGGGAGGGUGGGAAAGGCUGGGCAGGGUGUUGUGGGGUGGGGGGUGGACUCCAGCACAGGACUCGGAGCUUUGGACUUCAGCCUGUGAACAAGCCAGAGCUAAGGAGCGCUUUUAGGUAGGAAAGCACCCAUCCACGGAAGCACACGCCCCAGGGCCACCCCCACACACCCCCUGGCCAGCUGUGUGUCCUUGGGCAGCCCCCUCGCCAGCUGAACCCCGUGACCCUUGUCUGUAAAACGGUACUGGUAGUAAAUUCUCAGGGUCAUGGGAGGUGGGGUGAGUUAAUGCCGGGCAACGAGGGCCUCAGCCGGUGGGGCUGGUCGCCUUGGUCCCGGCCCCUGGCACUUUAUGGGCGCCUGCCCUGGGUACCACCCGGGUCUCCAGCUGACCUGGUUUAAGCCUCGCCUGUCUCUCGAUUGGCUGAGUCAUGGACCCCCUUCUGACCCAGUUUCCUCGACUGUCCCAGGGGGAAUGAUAAGAGCCCCAACUUCAGAUCUGAAUGAGAACGUGAACUCUGCAGGGGUGCUCCCGUUCUCCCGGAGUAGGGACCAGAUUCCACACGAUGCACAACGUCCCUCAGCAUCCCCGCCCCACCCAGGCCUCUCACCUCCCGGCCCUCCCACGCCCACUCUGCUCACACUGGCCCCUUGCUGGUCCCCCGCCUGGAGCUCUUCUCCCAGGUGUCUGCUUGGCUGGCUCGCCCACUUGUCCCCGGGGUUGGUUCAGUGUCCCCAUUCUCCAUGUCUCCCCGAGGCCUGCCCUGCUCCCCUUCACGCUGCAGAUGCGCCCCCCCUGCCCCACCGCCGCCCUGAGCUGGGCAAUCCCCUUUCCUGUAGCGCUUGCCUCCUUCUCGCCGACUCCGUGUGUCCCCUGCCACCCCCCCACCCCCGCCUGCUCCAGAAUCAGCCCCUGGAGGACAGGGGCCUUUGCCUGUUUGGUCGCCUGACCCCUGGAGGCCCUGAGCAAAUAUUUGUCAGAUGUCCUCACGGGCUCCAGAGGCGGCCCCGCACUCGGACCGGCGCUCAGAGCUUGGAGGGGCCCAAGGAGCCCCUCCCAGUGUCUCAACCGUGAGAGGAAGUUGCAAGAUGGCCAUUUCUGUACACUGGCUCAGCUCUCUCUGGUCAUCUUUCCCAGCUCGCUCUCUGAGGCCUGGGUUCUCCCACGCGCCCUGUCGCGUCCCGCCAGGCCCAGCCGCUUGCAAGGGUGGAAGGGUGGAGGGCAUCUGGAGCUCUUUGGGGCUGAGGGUGAGGGGUCUGUGAGAGAAGGGGUCACGACGUUCCCCCGUGUGCACUCAGCUUCGAGGACGUGGGCCCCGUGUUUCCUGUUGCUUGCCUGCCUUGUGAUUGCAAUAGCACCCGGCCUACCCCAGCAGACGCCCAGCCCAGGGCAGGCAAAGGCCGCCCAGCCCUCCACCAGCCAGGCUGCCUGACCGCGUGUCCCUCUCUGCAGGGCCCAGCCCUGCAUGGCCGCCCGCUUGUCCCGUGGUGGUGGGAACAGCACUGUCAUGGGCUGCUGGUAGGAGGAUAAGUGGGGAAAACCUUUACUCAAGGCAAUGUGACAAUAUCUCUAUUGUUUAAUCACUCAGUCGUGUCCGGCUCUUUGGAGACCCCCAUGGCCUGUAGCCCGCCAGGCUCCUCUGUCCAUGGGAUUUCCCAGAAACAAGCUGACGUGAAGGCAUGAGGACUGCCACCUGGAGCCAGCACUGCAAUCCCGCCAGUCCUGGAAACGACCUUUCACCCACAUCUUCCCCCAACUAUUCCAGUAGACACUCCCCUCUAACUUUCCUGCAAAAAAAAAAAAAAAGCACUCCUCUUUGACCCAGUAUUUCAACUUUGGGGCAUUUAUCCUAGACGUACACUCACAUGUGUGUAAAUUAGCAAAUUUUGCCUAUUGCAGUAUUAUUUGUAAUAGCAGAAGUCUGGAAACAACCUGAAUAUCCGUCCGUAAGAGACUGGUUAAAUAACUUUUCAACAAUGGAAUGCUAUGCAGCAAUGAAAAUGGACCACAGCUACAUGCAACAAGAAUGUUUACACUAUGAUUCUCUUCAUAGAAAGGUUAAAAUCUGUUAAGGUAAAAGCUAAACUAUAUUGUUAGAGAUGUUUACUCAAGUGGGAAAGCUGUAAAGAAAACAGGGAAAUAAUUACUGGCAAAGUUAGGAUAGUCUUCCUUCUAGAGAGAGGCAGGACAUUUGGGGAAGCUUCUGGAGUUCUGGCAGUGUUUUAUUUCUUGACCUAGAUGGUGGUUAUGUACGUGUAUGCUUUAUAAUUAUCUUUUAAAUUGUACACAAAUGUUUCCUGCAGUUUUUUGAAUGAAUGAGGUCUCGCAUGAUGUGACGCUACCACAGUUUACCCAAACUGUAGAAUACUAUAUAGUCAUUAAAAAGAACAAGACGGCUCUGUAUGCAUGGGCAUGGGAUGGAUUUAGUGGGGAAAAAACAACCAAAGUGAAGCACGAUGUGUUCAGGGCGCUGCUUGCUGUGUGAAAUUUAAAAAAGAAUAUAUCUGCCUCUAUGCUUCUGUCUGCUAGACUUCCUCUAGAAAAAAUAUCCAAGACUCAACUAACAGGGAACGGGACCGUUUCCCUUCUUGUUACCUUUUGAAUUUCAUACCAUCUGUAUCUAUUACCUAUUGAAAAAUUAACAUAAUUUUAAAAACCGUUUCAGGGAUUUCCCUGGUGGUGCAGUGGUUAAGACUCUCCCUUCCAAUGCAGGGGAGACAAGUUCGAUCCCCGGUUGGGGAGCUAGGAUCCUGCAUGAUGCCGUGGGGCAGCUGAGCCCACAUAGCACAACUAGAGUCCACAUGCCUCAACAGAGACCCAGCGCGGCCAAAGACAAAUAACAAAUAAAAAGAUGAAAAUAAAAAACAGCUUUGCCUCUCA